AGAGUUUGAUCAUGGCUCAGAAUCAACGCUGGCGGCGCGCUUAACACAUGCAAGUCGAACGAGAAAGGGGAGCAAUCCCUGAGUAAAGUGGCGUACGGGUGAGUAACACGUGGGUAAUCUACCUCUGGGUGGGGAAUAACUUUGGGAAACCGAAGCUAAUACCGCAUAAGACCGAAAGGUGAAAGGAGCAAUUCGCCGAGAGAGGAGCCCGCGGCCGAUUAGCUAGUUGGUGGGGUAAAGGCCUACCCAAGGCGACGAUCGGUAGCCGGCCUGAGAGGGCACACGGCCACACUGGCACUGAAACACGGGCCAGACUCCUACGGGAGGCAGCAGUGGGGAAUCUUGCACAAUGGGGGCAACCCUGAUGCAGCGACGCCGCGUGAGUGAUGAAGCCCUUCGGGGUGUAAAGCUCUUUCGGCCCGAACGAUAAUGACGGUACGGGAAGAAGAAGCUGCGGCUAACUACGUGCCAGCAGCCGCGGUAAUACGUAGGCAGCGAGCGUUGUUCGGAGUUACUGGGCGUAAAGGGUGCGUAGGCGGUUUUCUAAGUCUGGUGUGAAAUCUCCUGGCCUAACUGGGAGGGUGCGCUAGAAACUGGAAGGCUUGAGUAUGGGAGAGGUAGGCGGAAUUCCUGGUGUAGCGGUGAAAUGCGUAGAUAUCAGGAGGAACACCUGUGGUGUAGACGGCUUACUGGACCAUCACUGACGCUGAGGCACGAAAGCGUGGGUAGCAAACAGGAUUAGAUACCCNNGUAGUCC
This 757-nucleotide ribosomal RNA is filed under the name uncultured bacterium. RNAcentral describes it as "bacterial SSU rRNA". It matches the Rfam family "Bacterial small subunit ribosomal RNA", at positions 8 to 796 of the family's 1533-position model. The record is from RNAcentral.